GAUGAACGCUGGCGGCGUGCUUAACACAUGCAAGUCGAACGAAGCACCUUGAUUUGAUUCUUCGGAUGAAGAUCUUGGUGACUGAGUGGCGGACGGGUGAGUAACGCGUGGGUAACCUGCCUCAUACAGGGGGAUAACAGGUAGAAAUGACGGCUAAUACCGCAUAAGACCACAGCACCGCAUGGUGCAGGGGUAAAAACUCCGGUGGUAUGAGAUGGACCCGCGUCUGAUUAGGUAGUUGGUGGGGUAACGGCCUACCAAGCCGACGAUCAGUAGCCGACCUGAGAGGGUGACCGGCCACAUUGGGACUGAGACACGGCCCAAACUCCUACGGGAGGCAGCAGUGGGGAAUAUUGCACAAUGGGGGAAACCCUGAUGCAGCGACGCCGCGUGAGCGAUGAAGUAUUUCGGUAUGUAAAGCUCUAUCAGCAGGGAAGAAAAUGACGGUACCUGACUAAGAAGCACCAGCUAAAUACGUGCCAGCAGCCGCGGUAA
RNAcentral lists this ribosomal RNA (495 nucleotides) under uncultured bacterium. RNAcentral describes it as "partial 16S ribosomal RNA". It matches the Rfam family "Bacterial small subunit ribosomal RNA", at positions 28 to 523 of the family's 1533-position model. The record is from RNAcentral.